This 407-nucleotide ribosomal RNA is filed under the name Tomentella pisoniae. RNAcentral's name for it is "eukaryotic LSU rRNA". It matches the Rfam family "Eukaryotic large subunit ribosomal RNA", at positions 1 to 401 of the family's 3401-position model. Lineage: Eukaryota; Fungi; Basidiomycota; Agaricomycetes; Thelephorales; Thelephoraceae. The record is from RNAcentral.
GAUCUCAAAUCAGGUAGGACUACCCGCUGAACUUAAGCAUAUCAAUAAGCGGAGGAAAAGAAACUAACAAGGAUUCCCCUAGUAACUGCGAGUGAAGCGGGAAGAGCUCAAAUUUAAAAUCUGGCGUGCCUCUGGUCGUCCGAAUUGUAGUCUGGAGAAGCGUUUUCCGUGUUGGACCGUGUAUAAGUCUCUUGGAACAGGGCGUCAUAGAGGGUGAGAAUCCCGUCUUUGACACGGACUACCAAUGCUUUGUGAUGCGCUCUCAAAGAGUCGAGUUGUUUGGGAAUGCAGCUCAAAAUGGGUGGUAAAUUCCAUCUAAAGCUAAAUAUAGGCGAGAGACCGAUAGCGAACAAGUACCGUGAGGGAAAGAUGAAAAGCACUUUGGAAAGAGAGUUAAACAGUACGUG